UACGAAGGGGGCGAGCGUUGUUCGGAUUUACUGGGCGUAAAGGGCGCGCAGGCGGCUCAUUUUGUCAGGCGUGAAAGCCCCGGGCUUAACCUGGGAACUGCGUUUGAUACGGAUGGGCUAGAGUUCGGGAGAGGAGAGUGGAAUUCCCAGUGUAGAGGUGAAAUGCGCAGAUAUCAGGAGGAACACCGGUGGCGAAGGCGGGUCUCUGGGCCGAUACUGACGCUGAGGAGCGAAAGCGUGGGGAGCGAACAGG
Molecule: ribosomal RNA, 253 nt
Filed under: uncultured bacterium
Lineage: Bacteria
Description: partial 16S ribosomal RNA
Rfam family: Bacterial small subunit ribosomal RNA
Source: RNAcentral